Molecule: ribosomal RNA, 255 nt
Filed under: Bacillus subtilis
Lineage: Bacteria; Bacillati; Bacillota; Bacilli; Caryophanales; Bacillaceae
Also listed under: 3 other names
Description: partial 23S ribosomal RNA
Rfam family: Bacterial large subunit ribosomal RNA
Source: RNAcentral
UAGUACCUGUGAAGAUGCAGGUUACCCGCGACAGGACGGAAAGACCCCGUGGAGCUUUACUGCAGCCUGAUAUUGAAUGUUGGUACAGCUUGUACAGGAUAGGUAGGAGCCUUGGAAACCGGAGCGCCAGCUUCGGUGGAGGCAUCGGUGGGAUACUACCCUGGCUGUAUUGACCUUCUAACCCGCCGCCCUUAUCGGGCGGGGAGACAGUGUCAGGUGGGCAGUUUGACUGGGGCGGUCGCCUCCUAAAAGGUA